This is a non-coding RNA of Oryza barthii, 197 nucleotides long. The record is from Rfam. Lineage: Eukaryota; Viridiplantae; Streptophyta; Magnoliopsida; Poales; Poaceae.
AAAAAGACAAACACUGAAUUUUCGUGUCCAACGUUUGACUGUCCGUCUUAUAUAAAAUUUUUUAUAAUUAGUAUUUUCAUUGUUGUUAGAUGAUAAAACAUAAUUAAUACUUUAUACGUGACUUGUCGUUUUAAUUUUUUUAUAAUUUUUUUAAAUAAGGCGGACGAUCAACGAACGUGGGAUACAUAAACCUUAAU